AAUAAUUCUAAAAUAAGUAGUAAAUUAAGGUACUAAUGUAAGCCUUGUAUGUGAAAUAUCAUUAUCAUUAGUUACUUGAAACUAUGCGACUUAGCUUAUUACAUUUUUAACAAAUGAGCAAAUCGUUGUAAUUGGGGUUUGUAGUGCGCGCGCUGUAUUGGCGGUUGAUACUUCGAGAAUCUCAAUCGUUGCGAUACGUGCAUAUGUUCAGUUCGAGAAUAAGUCGCGACGACGAAGUUUGGGUUCGAGAAGCUGCUUCGUAAUUUUCGCGAUUUCGUCUCGACGAAGGUGAGUUUCGCGCGCGAAUCACUACUGAGAGUGUCGAAAAUAAGUUUCGUGCGUUUGUCGUAACAAAAUAUCGUUAAAUAGCCGUCGGAAAGUAACACUCGCAGAACAGUGCGUCGGGAGUGCCGAAUGUAAUAUCGCACAUUUGCCAUAUAAUGGCAGUUGGAAGUUCAAAUGGCUGUAUUUUACGCCUUCGAACCGCCUCGAAGUAGAGCCUCGUGUACGAAAUAUCAUCGGGAGUGCCGAAAGUGAGCUUCGUGCGUUUGUCGUGGCGAAAUAUCAUCAAAUAGCCGCCGAAAGCGAACACCUCGCGAAAUAAGUAGUUGAAAGAGCCGACAUAAUGGCGUGCAUUCGUUGUCUUAUGUUAUUAAUAAUAUGGAGUUCUUCCGAGAUAUAUUGUGGCGUCUGAAUAUUCGUCAUGUGAAAUACAAUGUCACGCUCUCGAUGUGCCGAAGGCAAAUUUGAUCUGACGGAGAUUGCGGUUACACCAUGGAGGUAGUUGCAGUUCCGGUGGGCGCUGAUGCCGUACCGGAGGAUCCGGUUCGGGCCAGGCAGGGUCGGUUCGAAGAUUCGAUAGUAGCGGAACGCAGCCGAUCUUGACUUCGAGACACUUCGGUGAGCGAACAUCAAAAUAAAGGUGGGGGGGGGGGGAGUUUGUAAGGGACAGGAAUUCAUAGAAUUUCGUUGCAAUUGUGUGAUUUGCUUACAGUUUUUUUGCAUGUUGGAUUUUUAUAUGUAUGCGUUGUGUAUACAUAGCUUUAAAAGAAAUACACUGCUCGAAACACAAUUAAGGGGUCGUUCCUUCGAGUGUUUACAUUAUCUUUUAUGUUUGAAAUAUCGA
This is a long non-coding RNA of Dinoponera quadriceps, 1126 nucleotides long. RefSeq lists it as uncharacterized. Lineage: Eukaryota; Metazoa; Arthropoda; Insecta; Hymenoptera; Formicidae. The transcript is spliced from 3 exons. The record is from RefSeq and is a predicted model, not a curated record.